This 468-nucleotide ribosomal RNA is filed under the name uncultured bacterium. RNAcentral describes it as "partial 16S ribosomal RNA". It matches the Rfam family "Bacterial small subunit ribosomal RNA", at positions 28 to 507 of the family's 1533-position model. The record is from RNAcentral.
GAUGAACGCUGGCGGCGUGCUUAACACAUGCAAGUCGAACGGAAAGGCCCUGCUUUUGUGGGGUGCUCGAGUGGCGAACGGGUGAGUAACACGUGAGUAACCUGCCCCUGACUUUGGGAUAACUUCAGGAAACUGGGGCUAAUACCGGAUAGGAGCUCCUGCUGCAUGGUGGGGGUUGGAAAGUUUCGGCGGUUGGGGAUGGACUCGCGGCUUAUCAGCUUGUUGGUGGGGUAGUGGCUUACCAAGGCUUUGACGGGUAGCCGGCCUGAGAGGGUGACCGGCCACAUUGGGACUAAGAUACGGCCCAGACUCCUACGGUAGGCAGCAGUGGGGAAUAUUGCACAAUGGGCGGAAGCCUGAUGCAGCAACGCCGCGUGCGUGAUGACGGCCUUCGGGUUGUGAACCGCUUUCUCCUGAGACGAAGCGUGAGUGACGGUAAUUAGUAAAGAAGCACCGGCUAACUACGUG